RNAcentral lists this ribosomal RNA (778 nucleotides) under uncultured bacterium. RNAcentral describes it as "bacterial SSU rRNA". It matches the Rfam family "Bacterial small subunit ribosomal RNA", at positions 39 to 806 of the family's 1533-position model. The record is from RNAcentral.
GCUACAGGCUUAACACAUGCAAGUCGAGGGGCAGCAUGGUCUUAGCUUGCUAAGGCCGAUGGCGACCGGCGCACGGGUGAGUAACACGUAUCCAACCUGCCGUCUACUCUUGGACAGCCUUCUGAAAGGAAGAUUAAUACAAGAUGGCAUCAUGAGUCCACAUGUUCACAUGAUUAAAGGUAUUCCGGUAGACGAUGGGGAUGCGUUCCAUUAGAUAGUAGGCGGGGUAACGGCCCACCUAGUCUUCGAUGGAUAGGGGUUCUGAGAGGAAGGUCCCCCACAUUGGAACUGAGACACGGUCCAAACUCCUACGGGAGGCAGCAGUGAGGAAUAUUGGUCAAUGGGCGAGAGCCUGAACCAGCCAAGUAGCGUGAAGGAUGACUGCCCUAUGGGUUGUAAACUUCUUUUAUAAAGGAAUAAAGUCGGGUAUGGAUACCCGUUUGCAUGUACUUUAUGAAUAAGGAUCGGCUAACUCCGUGCCAGCAGCCGCGGUAAUACGGAGGAUCCGAGCGUUAUCCGGAUUUAUUGGGUUUAAAGGGAGCGUAGAUGGAUGUUUAAGUCAGUUGUGAAAGUUUGCGGCUCAACCGUAAAAUUGCAGUUGAUACUGGAUAUCUUGAGUGCAGUUGAGGCAGGCGGAAUUCGUGGUGUAGCGGUGAAAUGCUUAGAUAUCACGAAGAACUCCGAUUGCGAAGGCAGCCUGCUAAGCUGCAACUGACAUUGAGGCUCGAAAGUGUGGGUAUCAAACAGGAUUAGAUACCCUGGUAGUCCACACGGUAAA